GAUGAACGCUGGCGGCGUGCCUAAUACAUGCAAGUCGAGCGAACGGACGAGAAGCUUGCUUCUCUGAUGUUAGCGGCGGACGGGUGAGUAACACGUGGAUAACCUACCUAUAAGACUGGGAUAACUUCGGGAAACCGGAGCUAAUACCGGAUGAUAUUUUGAACCGCAUGGUUCAAAAGUGAAAGACGGUCUUGCUGUCACUUAUAGAUGGAUCCGCGCUGCAUUAGCUAGUUGGUAAGGUAACGGCUUACCAAGGCAACGAUGCAUAGCCGACCUGAGAGGGUGAUCGGCCACAAUGGAACUGGGCCACGGUCCAGACCCCUACGGGGGGCAGGAGUAGGGAAUCUUCCGCAAGGGGCGAAAGCCUGACGGAGCAACGCCGGGGGAGUGAUGAAGGUCUUCGGAUCGUAAAACUCUUUUAUUAGGGAAGAAAAAUUGUGUAAGUAACUGGGCAAAUCUGGGCGGUACCAAAUCAAAAAGCCCCGGCUAACUACGG
Molecule: ribosomal RNA, 496 nt
Filed under: uncultured bacterium
Lineage: Bacteria
Description: partial 16S ribosomal RNA
Rfam family: Bacterial small subunit ribosomal RNA
Source: RNAcentral